This 21-nucleotide microRNA is filed under the name Brachypodium distachyon (stiff brome). Its description in RNAcentral is "bdi-miR5170". Lineage: Eukaryota; Viridiplantae; Streptophyta; Magnoliopsida; Poales; Poaceae. The record is from miRBase by way of RNAcentral.
UCAUCAAGUUGAGUGACCGUA